AGCAGCCGCGGUAAUUCCAGCUCCAAUAGCGUAUAUUAAAGUUGUUGCAGUUAAAAGCUCGUAGUUGAAUUUCGGGGUCUGUCCGUCGGUCGGGCUUCACGGUCCGUACUGGUGUGAUGGGUUCCUACCUUCUGAAUAACCGGCAUGCCAUUCAGUUGGUGCGCCGGGGAAGCAGAGCUAUUACCUUGAAAAAUUGAGUGCUUAAAGCAGGCUAGUGCUUGAAUAGAUUAGCAUGGAAUAAUAAAAUAGGACGGCAUGGUUCUAUUUUGUUGGUUUCUAGGAUCACCGUAAUGAUUAAUAGGGAUAGUUGGGGGCAUUAGUAUUCAAUUGUCAGAGGUGAAAUUCUUGGAUUUAUUGAAGACUAACUUCUGCGAAAGCAUUUGCCAAGGAUGUUUCAUUAAUCAAGAACGAAAGUUAGGGAUACGAAGACGAUCAGAUACCGUCGUAGUCUUAACCAUAAACUAUAGCCGACUAGGGAUCGGACGAUGUUAAUUUUUAAUGACUCGUUCGGCGUCCGUUA
This 520-nucleotide unclassified non-coding RNA is filed under the name uncultured Acaulospora. RNAcentral's name for it is "SSU rRNA". It matches the Rfam family "Eukaryotic small subunit ribosomal RNA", at positions 569 to 1092 of the family's 1831-position model. The record is from RNAcentral. Lineage: Eukaryota; Fungi; Glomeromycota; Glomeromycetes; Diversisporales; Acaulosporaceae.